AACGAACGCCGGCGGCAUGCCUAACACAUGCAAGUCGAACGAUGCCUUCGGGCAUAGUGGCGCACGGGUGCGUAACGCGUGGGAAUCUGCCUUUCGGUUCGGAAUAACUCAGGGAAACUUGAGCUAAUACCGGAUAACGUCGCAAGACCAAAGAUUUAUCACCGAAAGAUGAGCCCGCGUAGGAUUAGCUAGUUGGUGAGGUAAAGGCUCACCAAGGCGACGAUCCUUAGCUGGUCUGAGAGGAUGAUCAGCCACACUGGGACUGCGACACGGCCCAGACUCCUACGGGAGGCAGCAGUGGGGAAUAUUGGACAAUGGGCGAAAGCCUGAUCCAGCAAUGCCGCGUGAGUGAUGAAGGCCUUAGGGUUGUAAAGCUCUUUUACCCGGGAAGAUAAUGACGGUACCGGGAGAAUAAGCCCCGGCUAACUCCGUG
Molecule: ribosomal RNA, 433 nt
Filed under: uncultured bacterium
Lineage: Bacteria
Description: partial 16S ribosomal RNA
Rfam family: Bacterial small subunit ribosomal RNA
Source: RNAcentral